GACGAACGCUGGCGGCGUGCUUAACACAUGCAAGUCGAACGCUGAAGCUCAGCUUCUGUUGGGUGGAUGAGUGGCGAACGGGUGAGUAACACGUGAGUAACCUGCCUCCUUCUUUGGGAUAACGCCCGGAAACGGGUGCUAAUACUGGAUAUUCACUGGUCUUCGCAUGGGGGUUGGUGGAAAGGGUUUUUCUGGUGGGGGAUGGGCUCGCGGCCUAUCAGCUUGUUGGUGGGGUGAUGGCCUACCAAGGCUUUGACGGGUAGCCGGCCUGAGAGGGUGACCGGUCACAUUGGGACUGAGAUACGGCCCAGACUCCUACGGGAGGCAGCAGUGGGGAAUAUUGCACAAUGGGCGCAAGCCUGAUGCAGCGACGCCGCGUGAGGGAUGGAGGCCUUCGGGUUGUGAACCUCUUUCGCUCAUGGUCAAGCCGCAACAAUGGUUGUGGUGAGGGUAGUGGGUAAAGAAGCGCCGGCUAACUACGUG
Molecule: ribosomal RNA, 483 nt
Filed under: uncultured bacterium
Lineage: Bacteria
Description: partial 16S ribosomal RNA
Rfam family: Bacterial small subunit ribosomal RNA
Source: RNAcentral